CCCUCGGCUCAACCGGGGAAUUGCUUGGUAUACUGCGGUUCUUGAGACCAGUAGGGGCAGCCGGAACUCUAGGUGGACCGGUGAAAUGCAUAGAUAUCUAGAGGAACGCCAAAGGUGAAGACAGGCUGCUGGGCUGGACCUGACGCUGAGGCACGAAAGCGUGGGGAGCAAACAGGAUUAGAUACCCUGGUAGUCCACGCCGUAAACGUUGUGCACUAGGUCCCGGAGGUUUUGACGCCAUCGGGGCUGGAGCAAAAGUAUUAAGUGCACCGCCUGGGGAGUACGGUCGCAAGGCUAAAACUCAAAGGAAUUGACGGGGGCUCACACAAGCGGUGGAGCAUGUGGCUUAAUUCGAAGCAACGCGAAGAACCUUAUCCUGGGUUUGACAUGUAUGGAUUAACCUCGUGAAAGCGAGGCCACGCCCUUUGGGUGGAACAUACACAGGUGCUGCAUGGCUGUCGUCAGCUCGUGCCGUGAGGUGUUAGGUUAAGUCCUUCAACGAGCGAAACCCUUGCCGUUAGUUGCCAGCGCGCCUUCGGGUGGCGGGGACUCUAGCGGGACUGCCGGUGUCAAACCGGAGGAAGGUGGGGAUGACGUCAAGUCCUCAUGGCCUUUAUGCCCAGGGCUGCACACGUGCUACAAUGGCGCGCACAGAGCGAAGCGAUGCCGCGAGGCGGAGCAAAUCGCAAAAAACGCGCCCCAGUUCAGAUUGUAGUCUGCAACUCGACUACAUGAAGGCGGAAUCGCUAGUAAUCGCGUAUCAGCAAUGACGCGGUGAAUAUGUUCCUGAGCCUUGUACACACCGCCCGUCAAGUCAUGGAAGCCGGGAGUGCCCGAAGUCGCCCNAACUCAUGGGUGCCUACGGCAAGCUCGGUGACUGGGACUAAGUC
Molecule: ribosomal RNA, 890 nt
Filed under: uncultured organism
Description: bacterial SSU rRNA
Rfam family: Bacterial small subunit ribosomal RNA
Source: RNAcentral